AGACGGAGGGUGCAAGCGUUAAUCGGAAUUACUGGGCGUAAAGCGCUCGUAGGCGGCUUGUUAAGUCGGAUGUGAAAGCCCCGGGCUCAACCUGGGAACUGCAUUCGAUACUGGCAGGCUAGAGUAUAGUAGAGGCAAGUGGAAUUCCGGGUGUAGCGGUGAAAUGCGUAGAUAUCCGGAGGAACAUCAGUGGCGAAGGCGACUUGCUGGACUAAUACUGACGCUGAGGAGCGAAAGCGUGGGGAGCAAACGGGAUUAGAAACCCCAGUAGUCC
This 274-nucleotide ribosomal RNA is filed under the name uncultured bacterium. RNAcentral's name for it is "partial 16S ribosomal RNA". It matches the Rfam family "Bacterial small subunit ribosomal RNA", at positions 523 to 796 of the family's 1533-position model. The record is from RNAcentral.